GGAGUGGUAGUUCAGUUGGUUAGAAUACCGGCCUGGUCACCGGUGCCGGGGCGGUCCGGUUCGACGUCCGUCCACUCCG
RNAcentral lists this transfer RNA (79 nucleotides) under Vibrio sp. JCM 18905. Its description in RNAcentral is "tRNA-Thr". The record is from RNAcentral. Lineage: Bacteria; Pseudomonadati; Pseudomonadota; Gammaproteobacteria; Vibrionales; Vibrionaceae.